Molecule: small nuclear RNA, 142 nt
Organism: Fukomys damarensis (Damara mole-rat)
Lineage: Eukaryota; Metazoa; Chordata; Mammalia; Rodentia; Bathyergidae
Gene: U4
Rfam family: U4 spliceosomal RNA
About the family: U4 small nuclear RNA (U4 snRNA) is a component of the major U2-dependent spliceosome.
Source: Ensembl
CGGUGGGCGCAGUGGCAGUAUCGUAGCCAAUGAGGUUUAUCCAAGGCGCGAUUAUUGCUAAUUGAAAACUUUUCCAUUUUUAAUAUAGAUGUUGCCUUUUUUGUUAGUUUUUUCUGAUACUUUCCUGCAGUGUUCCAUAAAG